UACGAAGGGAGCUAGCGUUGUUCGGAAUCACUGGGCGUAAAGCGCACGUAGGCGGAUGUGUCAGUCAGGGGUGAAAUCCCGGAGCUCAACUUCGGAACUGCCCUUGAUACAGCACGUCUUGAGUCCGGAAGAGGUGGGUGGAAUUCCUAGUGUAGAGGUGAAAUUCGUAGAUAUUCGGAAGAACACCAGUGGCGAAGGCGGCUCACUGGACCGGUAUUGACGCUGAGGUGCGAAAGCGUGGGGAGCAAACAGG
Molecule: ribosomal RNA, 253 nt
Filed under: uncultured bacterium
Lineage: Bacteria
Description: partial 16S ribosomal RNA
Rfam family: Bacterial small subunit ribosomal RNA
Source: RNAcentral